AUUGAAGCUGGGACCAUGUGGUUGGGAAAUAAGCCUCUUAACCAUACAACAUGUGACAAGAUAAUACAAACGAGGUCAUAGAUAAGGAGAAAUGCAUCAAAGGUGAGUUUAAAUGAAAAUCAUCAUCAUCAUCAUCAUCAUCGUUUAACGUCCGUUCUCCAUGCUAGCAUGGGCUGGACGGUUCGACCGGGGAUCUGGAAAGCCAGGAGGCUGCACCAGGCUCCAGUCUGAUCUGGCAGUGUUUCUACAGCUGGAUGCCCUUCCUAACGCCAACCACUUCGUGAGUGUAGUGGGUGCUUUUUAUGUGCCACCUGCACUGGUGCCAGGCGAGGCUGGCAUCGGCCACGGUUGGAUUGGUGCAUUUUACAUGCCACCGGUACGGAAGCCAGUCGAGGCGGCGCUGGCUUCGGCCACGAUUCGGAUGGUGCUUUUUACGUGCCACCGACACGGAAGCCAGUUGAGGCGGUGCUGGCAUCGGCCACGGUUCGGAUAGUGCUUUUUACGUACCUCCAGUCCAGGGGUCCUGGCAUCUGCCGGGUGCCAGUCAUAGGAUUGGUUCAAUUUCGAUUCCGAUUUCGAUUUCACUUGCCCCAACAGGUCUUCGCAAGCAAAAUGAAAUUGAAAUACCAUAAAUCAGGUAAAAUACAGGUGAAAUGAGAUGAAAUUCUGAUUGCUAACUACAGCCGAGUCUUUAUUCACUUUCAGUCUGUCUGUGAUCCCAUUAUGCUUCUUGUCCUUUUGUACAUCCAUAGAUCACAUUAUGCCCACCAUAUGGAAUUCCUACCCGCUCCAUUUCUGUAAUAUAGAGCACAAAGAUUUCUCCGAUGCCAACUGAAUUCUUUCUUCUUACAGUAACUUUAGUCUUUGCUAAGAUUAUUGUGAAAUUUCUCAAUUCUAGGAAAGUCAAAAUAAAACAAAGAACAAAAUAAAACAUUUUAUUCUUCAUUCUGUUUUACCUUCUCUCCCUCAUAAUCUGACCACAAAGACAGAAUCAGAAUUUAUAGCCAGCAUGGACAAUUUUUUGCUUUUCCUUUCUUUAUUUUUUUCAGUUUCUGUGUUUUGUAUUUUUAAUAUAAUUGUGUUUUGUCUGUUGCUGUAUCUAUGGAUUGAAUUUUGUCUGCAAAUUGCUGAAAAUAGUCACUGCUUUGGGUGUUCAUUCUCUCACUGGGUGAAAUGACAGUAUGAUCUAACGAAGGACUUAUUUAAAACAAUCACCUGAAGAAGCACAUCUUGCACCUUUAACUCUUUCGUUACCAACCUGGCUGAAACCAGCUCUGGCUCUGUAGUAUAAAUGUCUUGUUUUUAAAAGUUCUGAAUUAAAAUCUUCCACCAAACCUUAGUCACAAUUUAUGUUCCUAACACUAGCUGAAUGAUAACUAAGUUAUUUUACUAAAUACUUUGUUAUAUUUAAAGUAAUUGAAAGAAACACAGCAUCUCAACAGAAAUAUGGUAACAAAAGGGUUAAAAUAUAUAAUAGAGAAACCAUUCUUAACCCUUUCGUUACCAACCUGGCUGAAACCGCUUCUGGCUAUAUAAUUCAAAUGUCUUGUUUUCAAAAGUUUUGAAUUAAAAUCUUCCAUCAAACCUUUGUCACAAUUUAUGUUUCUAACACUAGCUGAAUGAUAACUAAGUUAUUUUACAAAAUUCUCUGUUAUAUUUAAAGUAAUUGAAAGAAACACAGAGCAUCUCAAAAUAAAUAUGGUAACGAAAGGAUUAAUGGAUGAUAGUGAUUACACAAUAUGUUAAUUAUAUCAUCUCACCAAUGUACCAAUGUUAUCAUCGUUUAACUUCUGUCUUCCAUACUAGCAUGGAUGGGACACACAAUUGAAAUGAUUUUAAAUAAUGCCACUCAGUCCAUUCUCUGUUAUUUAUCUAUUUAUUUAAGAUCUAUGGAUACUAUGGAAUUCCUGAUGAAUAUAUCCUUUAUCAUAAGCAUUUCCACUGUAUAAUGACAUCUGCUAGCCAAUAACUGUGGGUGAGCUUUGCAUAGCAUAUGACAAGGUUUUUUAAAUAAAAAUAAAUGCGCCCUUUUAAAGCCUAGCCAGGCUCAUGGGCCCAGUUUCCCGGUUUCUAUGGCGUAUGUGUUCCCCAGCUGGAUGGGACGCCAGUCCAUCACAACAUUACUCAUUUUUGUCAGCUGAGUGGACUGGAGCAACAUGGAAUAUAGUGUUUUACUCAAGAGCACAACGCGUCGCGCGGUCCAGGAAUCGAAACCACAAUCUUACGAUCAUGAUGCUGACACCCUAACCACUAAGCCACGCACCUCCACACAAGGUUUUUUUUACCCAAAUCUUAUUUAACUAAUAUAAAUUACAUACACAUGCAUGCACACACAUGCACGCUCUCUCUCUCUCUCACACACACACAUUCACACACGCACUCUCACACUAACAACCUAGCAAUUAUGUUUAAAUAUAUAAAUGCCUUGACCUAAAAUUAUAUCAAUUAUUUGCCUUAUUCAUGAUUGUGUUCUACAGUAUGUGUUUCUGCUCAAUGACAAACCACUUUAUAGUCAUUUGUUGCCAGGCAACUGUAUCAUCAUUAUCUUUUGGCUUUAGAAGUUGGAGUUUUAGAUGCUAAAUCACUCUGAAAAUUAAUUGCAUGUCAUUAUAUCAUUUGAUAGAAUAUUACUUGAACUAUAUAAGUGUGGCUUCAUGGUUAGAGUAUUCGACUCACUAUCACAAGGUCGUGAGUUCAAUUCCUGGUGCCGCUUUGUGUCCUUGAGCAAGACACUUUAUUUCACGGUGGUCCAGUCCACUCAGCUGGCAAAAGUGAGUAGUACCUGUAUUUCAAAGGGCCAGCCUUGUCACACUCUGUGUCAUGCUGAAUCUCCCUGAGAACUAUAUUAAGGGUAUGUGUGUCUGUGGAGUACUCGGCCACUUGCACAUUUAAAUUCAUGAGCAAGCUCUUCUGUUGGUCGGAUCAGUUGGAACCUUCUUUGUCCUAGCCAAUUAUUGUAUGUGUGUGUGUGUGUGUGCAGGGGGUCCAUCUAUGCUAAAGAUAAGUCUCAAAAUGGAAGUGUUAUCUUUAUUUUUAGCAGAUUGGGAGACCCUGUAGACCAAUGGUUCUCAAAUGGGGUCCAUGUAAGAUUUACUUGUUAAAAUUUCUGUGCAAUAGAUUGGUUUUAUUUCUACAAUACACAAAAUAUUCUAGCAACUUUUUUUUUAUACAAUUCCUAAUAUGAAAAUAGUGGAGGCGCAAUGGCCCAGUGGUUAGAGCAGCGGACUCGCGGUCAUAGGAUCGCGGUUUUGAUUCCCAGACCGGGCGUUGUGUUUAUUGAGCGAAAACACCUAAAGCUCCACGAGGCUCCGGCAGAGAUGGUGGUGAUCCUUGCUGUACUCUUUCACCACAACUUUUUCUCACUCUUACUUCCUGUUUCUGUUGUACCUGUAUUUCAAAGGGCCGGCCUUGUCACUCUCUGUGUCACGCUGAAUAUCCCCGAGAACUACGUUAAGGGUACACAUGUCUGUGGAGUGCUCAGCCACUUACACGUUAAUUUCAUGAGCAGGCUGUUCCGUUGAUUCGGAUCAACCGGAACCCUUGUCGUUGCAACCGACGGAGUGCUUCCACAAUAUGAAAAUACAAUAGGAGUUUUUAAACCAUUGAAUGGCUAGGAGGGUCCUUCCAAGUAAAGUAGGAAUCAAAGGGUUCCAUAGAUAAAAAAUGGUUGAAAAACUCUGAUACAGAAGGUUCCUGACUGAAAUAAGUCCUGUCUCUAGUUAUUAUUUAUAUUUAGCCUCAAAGUAAGUUAACAACUUGUAGCUCAUAACAAUCGUGUGCAUUCUAAUUUUAAAACUUUUUAACAACCAUCCUAUUUUUUCUAUUUUUUUAAUGGACAAUCACAUUAUUGUGAACGUGACUGCAACACUCUAACCACUAUACCACAUGAUUUCAUAAGAAUCAACAAAUGCUAUGUAGAGAGAAUAUAUUCUGUGUGUAGUUAUUGAAAGCUGAACCAGGAAGAGAUAACCAAAAUGAUUUAUUCUAAAACUAGCAGUAUCGCCCGGCGUUGCUCGGGUUUGUUUCGACCCUUUAGAAUUGGAAUUUUUGAAAAGUAAAAAUUUUGGAUUAUGUAGCUUGUUAUUCUCUUUAAGUGAACAUUUUCUGGUUGAAAUACACCAAAAAAUGGCGACACAGCAGUAAAAAAAUCGUAAAAAAUAGGGCUUUUCAUAGAAAAAAAAAGCACCUUUUUGAUGUAAAUAAUUUUUGGUGUUAACAUGGUCCGAUUUGAAUUUUAUCUUCUACAGAAUGAAGAGCAAGCCUUCUUCUAUCAUACUCUCAAUUUUGGUCAACUUGCACUGCAGGUUCUCGGAGGAGAUAGUGUUAGUUGAAGGCUACCAAACCUGCCACACACAGACAACUUCAGCUUUAUAUAUAGAGAGAUUAAUAUGUUUAUUUUUACUGCUUGCUUAACAGAAAUCAUUGAAUUGAUCAGUCUAGAUAACUUCAAUAUAAACACACCUUACUUCCCUGGGCAUGGAUACAUUGGAACUCCGACGUCUGGCAGCUGACUUGGCAGACACCCAUAAAAUUAUUAACCAUCUUACUAGCAAUAACUCUGAGCACCUUUUCAAACUCCACCUGUCUAACACCCGUGGACAUGUUUACAAAGUCAGAAAAAAGCACAGCUCCCAUGACUUUCGGAAACAUUUUUUCACGCUAAGAGUUACUGAAGUAUGGAACAAACUGCCAGCAUCAGUUGUUAGUUGUCGGAGCACUGCAUCCUUGAAUACUUCCAUGCUUCCUGAGAUUCACCAACACUACACCUGAUUUUAUCCCCUCCAUACACACGCAAACAUGUAUCUGACUCAUACACUGUUCACUUCCCAGACAUUUGUACAUUACUGCAUAUGCUUUAUAUGCACUUUUGACAAGUUGUGGUGCACCUGAGCACUGUAUACAAUAAUUUCAUUAUUAUUAUUAUUAUUAUUAUUAUUAUUAUUAUUAUUAUUAUUACUACUAUUAUUAUUAUUAUUAUUAUUAUUAUUAUUAUUAUUAUUAUUAUUAUUAUUCAGUAGUUCUAUUUUUAUAGCGUGCUUUCACUUCACUACCGAGCGCAGAUCUGUGUGCCUUGGGUAUGUGCUAUGAUUUGUUGUGAUGCUCUGAUGGUUACUGUAUUGAAAGUCGUCGUCGUCGCCGCCGCCGCCGCCUCCAUCACCACCACCACCACCACCACCACCACCACCACCACCACCACCACCAUCAUCAUCAUCAUCAUCAUCAUUAUUAUUAUUAUUAUUAUUAUUAUUAUUAUUAUACUUCAGCAUUAGCUCUGUUGUCUAUUUUUGUGUGUUUAUAUGCAUGAAAGAGAGAAACAGAUAUAUGAGGAUUGUAUGCUUGGAAAAUGUACAUAUAUUGUCUCCUGCAGAAGAUAUGUAAUGGACAUAGAAUAUGAAUUGUGAGUGAUUUGUACUUUAAUGGUCAGGAUAAGAUGACAUUGCGUUCGGUUGCAUUAAAGCAAACUCUGGUGAGAAGUUUGAAGGGAAACUUGUUUAUAUAUAAAAAAAAAAAAAAAACUAAAAACAUAAAAGAAUGUUGCAAUGUUCCAGAAAGUUCUGUCAGAAUCAGAAUUUUGGCAAGGAAAUAAUCCUGUCUUUCAAGUUGGCAUUAUCGCUGUCACUUCCACUUAACACCUGCUUUCCAUGAUUGCGUCACAGAAUCCCGCAAGACACAAGGUUGCACUAAGCUGCAGUGUCUGCUAACACAAACCAUAUUACAGUGUGUAACUGGGUGUUUGUUUUUCCUCAUGACAUUGGCUCUUGUGAAGUUGCCAGGUAACUUACAAGACAGAAAAAAAAAAACAGAAAAAAAAAAAUGGAGAAAAACAAAAAUACACUUUUAUUUACUCUUUAAUCAUUUACUCUUUUACUUGUUUCAGUCAUUUGACUGCGGCCAUGCUGGAGCACCGCCUUUAGUUGAGCAACUCGACCCCAGGACUUAUUCUUUGUAAGCCUAGUACUUAUUCUGUCAGUCUCUUUUGCCGAACCACUAAGUUACGGGGAUGUUGUAUUGUCCCCUCUAUGUUCGCCCCUAGUGGGUAAUAAUAAAACAGAUGUUGGGGGACAAACACAGACACACAAACAUAUAUAUAUAUAUAAAGCACCGUCCGUUCAUGGCCGUUUGCCAGCUCUGUCUGGCCCCGUGUCGGUGGCACGUAAAAGCACCAUCCGUUCGUGUCCGUUGCCAGCAUCGCCUGGCCCUGUGCCGGUGACACGUAAAAGCACCAUCCGUUCAUGGCCGUUCGCCAGCUCUGUCUGGCACCUGUGCAGGUGGCACGUAAAAAACACCCACUACACUCGCGGAGUGGUUGGCGUUAGGAAGGGCAUCCAGCCGUAGAAACACUGCCAGAUCUGACUGGGCCUGACGAAGCCUUCCUGCUUCACAGACCCCAGUUGACCCGUCCAACCCAUGCUGGCAUGGAAAGCGGACGCUAAACGAUGAUGAUGAUGAUAUAUAUAUAUAUAUAUAUAUAUAUAUAUAUAUAUAUAUACUCUUUUACUUGUUUCAGUCAUUUGACUGUGGCCAUGCUGGAGCACCGCCUUUAGUUGAGCAACUCGACCCCAGGACUUAUUCUUUGGAAGCCUAGUACUGAUUCUGUCAGUCUCUUUAGCCGAACCGCUAAGUUACGGGGAUGUAAACACACCAGCAUCGGUUGUCGAGCGAUGUUGGGGGGACAAACACAGACACACAAACAUAUACACACUCAUACAUAUAUAUAUACACAUAUAUAUGACGGGCUUCUUUCAGUUUCCGUCUACCAAAUCCACUCACAAGGCUUUGGUCAGCCCGAGGCUAUAGUAGAAGACACUUGCCCAAGGUACCACGCAGUGGGAUUGAACCGGGAACCAUGUGGUUGGUAAACAAGCUACUUACCACACAGCCACUCCUAUGUCUAUAUAUACAUUUAUUGAAAUAAAUGUCAGAAGGUGUAUUUGCAUGUAUGUACUUUUGUGCAUGCGGUUGUUAUAAUACCAUAUAUGAUAAUAUUGACUAAAAGCAAGACCUCAUAUUGACAGAAAUGCCAGAGGAUCAAUUCUAAAGAAAAUCUGCAACCAUAUUUUUUCAUUGUUCUUGAUUGCUUUCUCAACGUUCUUCCUAAUAUUUCACGCUUUCGUCUUUGUUUCUAUUUCACUGGAUUUCUCUUGAUAGUAUCACAUGGGAUCAACUCAUUGUUCCCUGUCCAUCUUAUCUCUAGGUACCUGUUGAUUUUUUUCUUUGAUAUUGUGAAAUAUUUCACUAUUCAAGCUUGGUAAUAUUGGUUUCAAAUUUUGACACAAGGACAGCAAUUUUGGGGGCAGGAGUAAGUUGAUUACAUUGAUCCUCAGUACAUGACUGGUACUUAUUUUACUGACCCUGAAAAAACUAAAGGCAAAGUUAACCUUGGUUGAAUUUGAACUCAGAAGACAAAGAUGGACAAAACGCCACUAAGCAUUCUGUCACUUUGCCACUUUAUCACACCUGGCAGUAUUGACUUUUCUUAUCUGUUGGCCUUGGUUUAAACUUUGUCUUAUGCCCUAUUUUUCUUCUCAUAUCUCUUUCCUAUAUUGCGUCAUUUUUACCCCCCAAGUCUACAGUUUUGUUUUGUAGUCAAGGUUGUUUAAAAUGUAAAGAGAAAAUAUUACUUUAGCGCCAAAAAUGCGCUGAAGUGUAAAAAGAUACAAAAACAUGACAAAAAACAGAAAUAUCUUCCUGGCUGUCUUAUUGUUGUAAGUAAAACUGAAGUGAAAGUAUUUUUGUUUAACAAUUCAGGAAGAUUUUCCGAGAAAAAUAAUUCAGGCAUCUAAGAAGCUAUGAUUCACACAGUACAGCAAAUUAUUUGCUCAAUCCUGUUUUUAUCAGCCUGUUACAGCAAAAAAAUUCCACUGAAAGAAAAGGAAGAAAGAUUGAAUAGUUCAGGUCUUGUCUAUUGAAAUGUAAUAAUAUGCAGUAAAUUCCAGCAACAAACCAGAUUUUAUAUGAAGUACAAUAAUAAUAAUAAUAAUAAUAAUAAUAAUAAUAAUAAUAAUAAUAAUGAAAUUAUUGUAUACAGUGCUCAGGUGCACCAAAACUUGUCCAAUGUGCUUGUAAAGUUUAUGCAGUAAUGUACAAAUGUCUGGAAAGUGAACAGUGUAUGAGUCAGAUACAUGCUUGUGUGUGUAUGGAGGGGAGAAAAUCAGGUGUAGUGUUGGUGAACCUCAGGAAGCAUGGAAGUCUUGAAGGAUGCAGUGCUCCGACAACCAACAACUGAUGCCGGCAGUUUGUUCCAAAGAAACAGGCAAGAAGUGAGUUAAGAAAGGAAAAGAAAGAAAGAGAAAGAAUGGUGGGGGUAAAGCAGCGGAAGAUGGAGGAGGAGGGAGCGAUGAGCAACAUACCCCAGAAGAAAUGGUGUGCUUAGCCAUGCCCCAUGGCUAUGACCAUGAUGGCAAUGCCACAGAGAAUGGCCAGUGACGCUCGCAGUAUUAGCCACUCCACCUUGUGGCAUUCAUUUCUCUGAUGGGUUGCCAUUAUCUUGAUUAGGCAGAAGAAUUUGGUAGUGAUGGGGUUUCUGAGAACAUCUGAUGUCUUGAUCUUGAUCAUUUGAAACGUAUAGCAACCAGUCAGGUCCCUGUAUUUAUUGAUUUUUCUUUCCUUUGUGUUACAGGCAGCAACAUCCAGAACUGCGGCUAACACAGCAUGGUUGGAGCCAGAGAACAUCUCACUGCACAUCAUGUCCAGAACAGGGAUCUGCCUGACUUGAAUAGGAAGAAGGAUAUUCAAUUAGAGUACUUAAUGACCCCACAGUCAAGACAUGUUGGUUGAAGUUGAAACAAGAAGCCAGCUACAUCAAAG
RNAcentral lists this long non-coding RNA (8808 nucleotides) under Octopus vulgaris (common octopus). Lineage: Eukaryota; Metazoa; Mollusca; Cephalopoda; Octopoda; Octopodidae. The record is from RNAcentral.